RNAcentral lists this ribosomal RNA (961 nucleotides) under Escherichia coli. Its description in RNAcentral is "partial 23S ribosomal RNA". It matches the Rfam family "Bacterial large subunit ribosomal RNA", at positions 566 to 1529 of the family's 2925-position model. The record is from RNAcentral. Lineage: Bacteria; Pseudomonadati; Pseudomonadota; Gammaproteobacteria; Enterobacterales; Enterobacteriaceae.
ACAAGCAGUGGGAGCACAGAGCAAUCUGUGUGACUGCGUACCUUUUGUAUAAUGGGUCAGCGACUUAUAUUCUGUAGCAAGGUUAACCGAAUAGGGGAGCCGAAGGGAAACCGAGUCUUAACUGGGCGUUAAGUUGCAGGGUAUAGACCCGAAACCCGGUGAUCUAGCCAUGGGCAGGUUGAAGGUUGGGUAACACUAACUGGAGGACCGAACCGACUAAUGUUGAAAAAUUAGCGGAUGACUUGUGGCUGGGGGUGAAAGGCCAAUCAAACCGGGAGAUAGCUGGUUCUCCCCGAAAGCUAUUUAGGUAGCGCCUCGUGAAUUCAUCUCCGGGGGUAGAGCACUGUUUCGGCAAGGGGGUCAUCCCGACUUACCAACCCGAUGCAAACUGCGAAUACCGGAGAAUGUUAUCACGGGAGACACACGGCGGGUGCUAACGUCCGUCGUGAAGAGGGAAACAACCCAGACCGCCAGCUAAGGUCCCAAAGUCAUGGUUAAGUGGGAAACGAUGUGGGAAGGCCCAGACAGCCAGGAUGUUGGCUUAGAAGCAGCCAUCAUUUAAAGAAAGCGUAAUAGCUCACUGGUCGAGUCGGCCUGCGCGGAAGAUGUAACGGGGCUAAACCAUGCACCGAAGCUGCGGCAGCGACGCUUAUGCGUUGUUGGGUAGGGGAGCGUUCUGUAAGCCUGCGAAGGUGUGCUGUGAGGCAUGCUGGAGGUAUCAGAAGUGCGAAUGCUGACAUAAGUAACGAUAAAGCGGGUGAAAAGCCCGCUCGCCGGAAGACCAAGGGUUCCUGUCCAACGUUAAUCGGGGCAGGGUGAGUCGACCCCUAAGGCGAGGCCGAAAGGCGUAGUCGAUGGGAAACAGGUUAAUAUUCCUGUACUUGGUGUUACUGCGAAGGGGGGACGGAGAAGGCUAUGUUGGCCGGGCGACGGUUGUCCCGGUUUAAGCGUGUAGGCUGGU